CAAGUACAGAAGAUGGAGAAAACACAGUAGAUGCCCUGCUACGUGCAAAGCACUAUGAAGAGAGAAGAGCCCAGGUGACUGUGGGGAGGAGAAACAAGCAAGGAGGAGACACCCAGGAGAUUGGACAGGGACUCCAGGGCUUCAGAGGCCGCAGAGCCCUGGACCAGGAAGUGCUCUGAGGUGCAGGCUGUGACUCACGGGCUCCCGUCCCC
RNAcentral lists this long non-coding RNA (212 nucleotides) under Fukomys damarensis (Damara mole-rat). RNAcentral's name for it is "lncRNA (ENSFDAG00000021812.1)". Lineage: Eukaryota; Metazoa; Chordata; Mammalia; Rodentia; Bathyergidae. The record is from RNAcentral.